AAGGUAGUGUAGUUAACACCUGCAUUAUUUGACGUUACCUACAGAAGAAGCACCGGCUAACUCCGUGCCAGCAGCCGCGGUAAUACGGAGGGUGCGAGCGUUAAUCGGAAUUACUGGGCGUAAAGCGCAUGCAGGCGGCCUGUUAAGUCAGAUGUGAAAGCCCGGGGCGUUAACCUCGGAAUUGCAUUUGUAAACUAGGCAGGCUAGAGUCUUGUAGAGGGGGGUAGGAAUUUCAGGUGUAGCGGUGAAAUAGCGUAGAGAUCUGAAGGAAUACCAGUGGCGAAGGCGGCCCCCCUGGACAAAGACUGACGCUCAGAUGCGAAAGCGUGGGGAGCAAACAGGAUUAGAUACCCUGGUAG
Molecule: ribosomal RNA, 359 nt
Filed under: uncultured bacterium
Lineage: Bacteria
Description: bacterial SSU rRNA
Rfam family: Bacterial small subunit ribosomal RNA
Source: RNAcentral